Long non-coding RNA from Gossypium arboreum, 793 nucleotides. RefSeq lists it as uncharacterized. The record is from RefSeq and is a predicted model, not a curated record. Lineage: Eukaryota; Viridiplantae; Streptophyta; Magnoliopsida; Malvales; Malvaceae. The transcript has 2 exons.
ACAGUAUAUAAAAUCAGUGCAAUUAAAAAGCCCUCAUCUUUCAUUGGUAUUUAAAACACGAUACCGUUUUGUUAUUGAAAAAUGGAUAAAGUAAAGAGCAACGGAUAUUUUUGAGUGAUGCUUGUGAAAUUUAGACCCAAAGUUUGUAAAGAUUAAGAAAAAAGGAUUGGAGGAGACGAUGUACUGGUAUUUGCUAUUAUGCUUUUCACUUCUGGUGUGUCCCAUUUGAAUUCUCUUCUUCCCCCACUAAUACUAAUUAAGCGGGCCAUUCCUGUUCUUUACAUCAUCUUUUAAGUGCAUUCUCAAUCAAUAUAACCGAAAAACUAAAGGAAAGGGAAAAAGUAAUUUAAUGUUUGAAUGGAUUAAAGUGGGAAAACCAUGUCUUAAAUAAAGUAGCAUGUAAAUUCGAGACUUGCAGAAAGAAAGAUGAAAUUGGAGACAUUGGAAAAGUGUAACUUACUAGUUUUAAGAAGAGGAGAGUGUGUGUGGUAGUAUCCAUUCAAUCCACAUGAAGGCUGCCAAAAACAAAACCAGCACUGAGCCGUUAGAUGGUGGUUUGGGAUAUGAGUGAAGAGAAUCCGAGGGUGGAUACAGAAGGAUGGUCCAUUGUUUAAAGUGGGAGACAGUGUAGGUAAUUGGUGGGUGGUCGGCCCGCCCCCUGCAUGUGAUGAGUGGCAGCGCGUGAGCCUGUAACGUGGGGUACAUCUUUUCCCCUUUCUCUUCUGAAAAAGUAACACUGGUGUAAUUUAAUUAAUCAUAUUUUAUAAAGGAUCUUACAAUAUGUUACAUGGAA